This 22-nucleotide microRNA is filed under the name Zea mays. Its description in RNAcentral is "zma-miR393b-3p". Its record names the gene zma-miR393b-3p. Lineage: Eukaryota; Viridiplantae; Streptophyta; Magnoliopsida; Poales; Poaceae. The record is from miRBase by way of RNAcentral.
AUCAAUGCGAUCCUUUUGGAGG